CUGCGGCUCAGCUGCUGGGGGUCAGGCCUGCUUAGCUCAGGUUCCAGGAGACUCCACGGAGCACUGCAAGGUGGUGGGGUGCAGGGAGCCAGGCAGCCUUGGCAGCGCACCCCAACCUCAGAGCCCCGGGGCCCUCCACCACGUGGGGCUGUGCCUCCGUGUCUGUGCUGCAGCACAGCUCCCUCCGGGAACCCGGCCUGCCAGGCAUGGGAGGAAGGCGGGCAGGAGCGCCGAGCUCCUCACAGGGUUAACCCAGCCGGGCGCACACAAAGGACGGAGGGGGCCGAGGGAUGGGGCCAGAGGGGGGAAACACCUUCCACCCUUUCUUUUGGCAUCGGGGGUACAUUUACAUUUCAGAGCACACCGAGCUACAAAUGGGGGUAGCUGGGAGCCUGUCCCUCCUUAGUUGCUGAUGAAAGCCCCUCCCGACGCCUUUGAUGCACGGGGUGCUCCCGGGAGCACGUUUCUCCCGCUGCUGCUCCCGGCGCGGUGGUUUCAGCCGGGGGAACGCGGGGGAGGGGGCGCGAGCGGCAAAACCCUGCGUGGAGUCGCCGGGCCUGGAACGGAGCAGCACCAAGCAAAACCCGGAGUGGAUCUGGGGAAGCGAAGCGGCGAUGCCUGGGCGCUGGCGCCCUGUCCCUUAACAGAAACUCCUCGCGGGCGCAGGGCCCCGAGAGGCCCACCGUUUGAGCACAGCACCCCGAGGGCUUGCCAGUGGCCCGGGUUUGCAGAUAAUCCCCCUUUCUAAGCAGCCGAACUCAUGAAUGUUGAUCUUGCAAAUCAGGCUGACACUAGCAGCUUUUGUCCACCGGGGCAUACAUCAAGGCUCGCCUUCUCCCCAGCACGUUUCCCUUCUCAUCGGAAUGCGGGUCCCAGCCUCCCGGGCUCCUGAAAGGCUCGCCCCGCCCCAAAGCGACCUGGGGUCUCCAGCAACAAUCGCCCGGCUUGUCUGCCAAGUGCCUGCCAAGCGCUCGGGGGGCCCAACUCCGAGAGUCCUGUUCGGGGCCCCAAGAGAAGCCCUUGAGAGAAAUGGCCCCGACAGGAGGAGGUCAACGGAUGACCGGCUCCCCCGAGCUUUGGAUCCUCCCGGGGGGGCCUAGGUAUUUGUCCUUAAACACACAGGCCAGCCUAGGCGGGACAAAACCAGGCUUCCAGAGAGGAAGCGAUGAAACAAUGGCAUUUAUAGGACAAGAGGACGAGAGGAGGCAAAGCCAGCCAGGAUAUAUGGAUCUGAAAUAAUGAGAUCAGACUGGGGAGGGCAGAUGUCAACUCCAUCCACAGGAGCCAUCCAGCAAAGGAGCCCUUGGCUCAAAGCAAGGCAGAUCUUUGGUUUUUAGAGUCGGUCGGUGGUAACUGUGGUGUGACAGGAUGCUCUUUUAUUAAUGCUAAUGACUUACAUUUAUAAAGUACUCUAGGCUCCAGGGAAAUAGGUGCUGACUGCAGACCAGAUAGGUAUCUUGAGGGUUUUGUGAUUAACGUGGCUGCUGAAUGAACUAGGAACACAGGCGCUCACGCCCUCACUCUUGGGAAUGCAGACUCAUGAAUAAAGAUAUUCGUGCUUAAUUUAAACGUUGUUAU
Molecule: long non-coding RNA, 1578 nt
Organism: Vulpes vulpes (red fox)
Lineage: Eukaryota; Metazoa; Chordata; Mammalia; Carnivora; Canidae
Source: Ensembl